RNAcentral lists this ribosomal RNA (492 nucleotides) under uncultured bacterium. RNAcentral describes it as "partial 16S ribosomal RNA". It matches the Rfam family "Bacterial small subunit ribosomal RNA", at positions 29 to 507 of the family's 1533-position model. The record is from RNAcentral.
AGUGAACGCUGGCGGUAUGCCUAACACAUGCAAGUCGAACGGCAGCACAGUAAGAGCUUGCUCUUACGGGUGGCGAGUGUCGGACGGGUGAGGAAUACAUCGGAAUCUACUUUUUCGUUGGUGAUAACGAAGGGAAACUUACGCUAAUACCUCAUACGACCUACUGGUGUAACCAGGCGAUCUUCGGACCUUGCGCGAUUGAAUGAGCCGAUGUCGGAUUAGCUAGUUGGCGGGGUAAAGGCCCACCAAGGCGACGAUCCGUAGCUGGUCUGAGAGGAUGAUCAGCCACACUGGGACUGAGACACGGUCCAGACUCCUACGGGAGGCAGCAGUGGGGAAUAUUGCGCAAUGGGCGAAAGCCUGAUCGAGCAAUACCGCGUGAGUGAAGAAGGCCUUCGGGUUGUAAAGCCCUUUCGUUAGGGAAGAAAAGCAGCAGGUGAAUUCCCCGCUGUUAUGACGGUAGCCAAAGAAUAAGCCCCGGCUAACUUCGUG